CUGGAAAACCAAAGUGGAGAAGUGGCGUCUAAUGAGGUAAGUGUUGGUUGCACAGCCAUGUCUCAUGAAAGUGAAAGUUUUCCAAAGAAAUCCAGAAAAAAUGCUUUAAAGGUCCAUUCACGGCUCAUCACAAAGGUAGAAAUUUGUGAUAAGAAGGGAUCUAAUAAGAGUCAAGCAGCAGCAAUUUCCAAUCACACAAGGAAACGUAGCAAUGUAAAGAAGAGUUCUGCCAGUGCUCUGCUGUGCUUUCAGUCAAGAGCUAGCAAGGAAAAACUGGAGGUGGCCAUUAACAGUGGAAAGAAUUUAGAUGUGAGUUCUCAUGAUGGAGCUGGUGGGAGAAUGAUGUUAGCACUCAAUGAAGAGAAAGCAGCCAAGUCUUUUAACUCAGGUUUUCCUAAUUUUGUCAGAAUUAUGAGGAAGUUCAACACCAGUGGUUCGUAUACUCUGAAAAUCCCUCACCAGUUUUCUGCAGCACAUCUCCCCAACUGCAAAACAGAGGUAGUCCUUCGUAAUUCACAAGGAGAAUGCUGGACAGUGAAUUCAGUUCCAGACUCAAAAGGGCGAAGUGUACAUACAUUCUGUGGAGGAUGGAUGGCCUUUGUUCGUGAUAAUGAUAUCAAAAUGGGGGAUGUCUGCAUAUUUGAACUUGUUAGUAAGUGUGAGAUGCUAGUGCAUAUAUCUGGAGUUGGAGGAAAAGCACUCCAGCUCAUUCACGAGGCAUGUUGAACAGUUGAAGAAUUCAAUCAUCGCCCAAACAAAUAUUUGGGUUGGGCUUCAUUUUCGUGUUCAGAAGAUCCAACAAGGUGAUAUUUACAUUUUUUGGGCAGAGGGGCAAGUUGAAGUGCUUUGUACGUGCACACUGAAGGAACGAAAUAUUGCUGAAGGAAGUGGAAACAUCUUAUCCGUUUUGUGUUUCAAUUCUAUGCUUCCUUGGUGAAAUAUUGUUCCCAACUAAUCCUUUUACCAAGAAGCAACCACCUUGAAUGUACAUGCAACGUAUCCUCAGUGCUUCUGUUCAUUUUAGCUUGUAAUUGUAGCCCAGCAUGCGCUGAAGAAAAACUACAGUUAUAGACAACUGC
This 1079-nucleotide unclassified non-coding RNA is filed under the name Hevea brasiliensis (rubber tree). Lineage: Eukaryota; Viridiplantae; Streptophyta; Magnoliopsida; Malpighiales; Euphorbiaceae. The record is from RNAcentral.